AGAGCGAACGCUGGCGGCAGGCCUAACACAUGCAAGUCGAGCGCCCCGCAAGGGGAGCGGCAGACGGGAGAGUAACACGUGGGAACGUACCCUUCAGUACGGAACAACCAAGGGAAACUUUGGCUAAUACCGUAUACGUCCGUAAGGAGAAAGAUUUAUCGCUGAAGGAUCGGCCCGCGUCUGAUUAGCUAGUUGGUGAGGUAACGGCUCACCAAGGCGACGAUCAGUAGCUGGUCUGAGAGGAUGAUCAGCCUCACUGGGACUGAGACACGGCCCAGACUCCUACGGGAGGCAGCAGUGGGAAUAUUGGACAAUGGGCGCAAGCCUGAUCCAGCCAUGCCGCGUGGGUGAUGAAGACCCUUGGGUUGUAAAGCUCUGUCGGAGGGAAGAAAUAAUGACGGUACCCUCCAAGAAAGCCCCGGCUAACUACGUGCCAGCAGCCGC
This 444-nucleotide ribosomal RNA is filed under the name uncultured bacterium. RNAcentral's name for it is "SSU rRNA". It matches the Rfam family "Bacterial small subunit ribosomal RNA", at positions 26 to 518 of the family's 1533-position model. The record is from RNAcentral.